CAGCAGCCACGGGAAUACGGAGGAUCCAAGCGUUAUCCGGAAUCAUUGGGUUUAAAGGGUCCGUAGGCGGUUUUAUAAGUCAGUGGUGAAAUCCGGCAGCUCAACUGUCGAACUGCCAUUGAUACUGUAGAACUUGAAUUAUUGUGAAGUAACUAGAAUAUGUAGUGUAGCGGUGAAAUGCUUAGAUAUUACAUGGAAUACCCAUUGCGAAGGCAGGUUACUAACAAUAUAUUGACGCUGAUGGACGAAAGCGUGGGGAGCGAACAGGAUUAGAUACCCCCGUAGUCCCUGUCUCUUAUAC
Molecule: ribosomal RNA, 301 nt
Filed under: uncultured bacterium
Lineage: Bacteria
Description: partial 16S ribosomal RNA
Rfam family: Bacterial small subunit ribosomal RNA
Source: RNAcentral